AAGGUGAAGUCGUAACAAGGUUUCCGUAGGUGAACCUGCGGAAGGAUCAUUACAGAGUUCCUGCCCUCACGGGUAGAAACCCCACCCUUGUGUAUAUUAUAUUGUUGCUUUAGCAGGUCGCCCUCUGGGGCGUCGGCCUCGGCUGACUGUGCCUGCUAGAGGACCCUAAACUUUGAAAUACAGUGUCGUCUGAGUACUAUUGAAUAGUUAAAACUUUCAACAACGGAUCUCUUGGUUCUGGCAUCGAUGAAGAACGCAGCGAAAUGCGAUAAGUAAUGUGAAUUGCAGAAUUCAGUGAAUCAUCGAAUCUUUGAACGCACAUUGCGCCCCUUGGUAUUCCGGGGGGCAUGCCUGUUCGAGCGUCAUUUAGACCAACUCCCGCUCCGGCGGGGUCUUGGGCUGCGCCUUUGGGCGGGCCUUAAAACCAGUGGCGGUGCCCUAAGGCUCUACGCGUAGUAAUUCUUCUCGCGAUAGGGUCCUUGCGGUGUCUUGCCAGCAACCCCCAACUCUCUAGGGUUGACCUCGGAUCAGGUAGGGAUACCCGCUGAACUUAAGCAUAUCAA
Molecule: ribosomal RNA, 563 nt
Filed under: Hymenoscyphus fraxineus
Lineage: Eukaryota; Fungi; Ascomycota; Leotiomycetes; Helotiales; Helotiaceae
Description: eukaryotic LSU rRNA
Rfam family: 5.8S ribosomal RNA (bases 212-365)
Source: RNAcentral